Non-coding RNA from Eucalyptus grandis, 166 nucleotides. Lineage: Eukaryota; Viridiplantae; Streptophyta; Magnoliopsida; Myrtales; Myrtaceae. The record is from Rfam.
AUACAUACCUGGACGGGGUCGAAUGGGUGAUCAGGAAGGCCCAUGGCCUAGGCCAAGUAGCCUUCAUUGCACUCAACCGAAGGCGGACUCAGCCUAACAUCUCCAAAUCGGAGACUGUACGUCGUAAUUUGUGGUAGCUGGGGGACAGCGUACGCGCCGACCCCCU